RNAcentral lists this transfer RNA (82 nucleotides) under Halolamina pelagica. RNAcentral describes it as "tRNA_Ser_GGA". It matches the Rfam family "tRNA". Rfam says of the family: Transfer RNA (tRNA) molecules are approximately 80 nucleotides in length. Their secondary structure includes four short double-helical elements and three loops (D, anti-codon, and T loops). Further hydrogen bonds mediate the characteristic L-shaped molecular structure. tRNAs have two regions of fundamental functional importance: the anti-codon, which is responsible for specific mRNA codon recognition, and the 3' end, to which the tRNAs corresponding amino acid is attached (by aminoacyl-tRNA synthetases). tRNAs cope with the degeneracy of the genetic code in two manners: having more than one tRNA (with a specific anti-codon) for a particular amino acid; and 'wobble' base-pairing, i.e. permitting non-standard base-pairing at the 3rd anti-codon position. The record is from RNAcentral. Lineage: Archaea; Methanobacteriati; Methanobacteriota; Halobacteria; Halobacteriales; Haloferacaceae. RNAcentral also lists the same sequence under 3 other names.
GCCAGGAUGGCCGAACGGUAAGGCGCACGCCUGGAAAGCGUGUUCCCUUAUGGGAUUCUGGGUUCAAAUCCCAGUCCUGGCG